Molecule: unclassified non-coding RNA, 1300 nt
Filed under: Bombus terrestris (buff-tailed bumblebee)
Lineage: Eukaryota; Metazoa; Arthropoda; Insecta; Hymenoptera; Apidae
Description: misc RNA ENSBTSG00005036460.1
Source: RNAcentral
UGUGUUGUUUUUUCUAGAGAGCCGUAAUAAACGAAAGGUGACAAGUUUACAACAACAACGAUGUCUCACCUUGAAUUGCGAAGUUUCUCCGCGAUGGACGAUAUCCAACCGUUCUGAUACUUCAUACAACAUCCAUGAACAGUCGUUUACACAAGGAGUACAAUGUGGACAUUACUCAAUUAAGAGAGAGCGAGAAAGAGAAAGAGAUAGAAAAAGAACAUUUCCCCGUGUAGGAAAAAAUAUAACGAUUUUGACGCCAAACUUGAAAGUAUCUAAGUAUUUCAGAUUUGUUUUUAGCAGAGUGGAUAUCUUGAAUAUGGCAGAUGGCUUGACGUUUGAAAUAUACCCAAGAAACUGCCAAUUAGGCGGAGCAGUUGGAUCUGGCCAACUGAAAUACACUGUAAAUACCAAGGAUCAAUAAGAAUAUGCAAGUGAAUUUAUUUAAUUGUUAUUGUAGCACAUACCUGCGCCACCUGUUCCAUCAGGGAACGGUAUAGCACCAGUGAGAAAAACCACGAUAUGGUUUAUAUUGUCUGCAUCAGGUACUGUUAUUAAAAACUGGUUCUCUCCUAUCUGUUGAAAAUCCGUUUGGACCUAAGAAAGAUGUUAUAUUUACAAUUACAUAUCGUUUGUAUGUUUGGAAAUUGUGGUUUACUAUUUGAAACUUGAAAAAAUCUAGAUUCGUCGACAUGAUAUUUACAUAUUCGAUUAAAUGCAGAGACGCUCGUGACAAGUUGGUGACGGGGUGGGGUAAGAUGCGAGCAUUACUGAGAGGUAACAGAAACAAGAUACGAAACAAAACGACGCAAACAUAGGACAUUAGCGAAAAUCAGGAAAAAAAAAGUAUGUUACGUAGGAACACUAAUAUGUUUGUGACAAACGAUACAUUUACAUUUAAUUGACAAUUUAGCAUCGAAAAUGAAAUACAAUGUUGGUACUUGCAUAGCAAAGCAUUGAUACUUACGAGUCGACCAGAUACAAUUAUACCAAGCAUCUUUAUGUCGAAUCUAGAUCAUUCUAUCGCUUUCUACUUAUCACGCUACACCAGCAAAUGUUCGGCAAGUAUAUAAUAGGUACACAACGUUGUCACACCAUCCAAACAUUUACAAUCGCUAGAAUGAUGUUUAUCACGAUUCAUGUGGCUAUAUAAAGAGUGGAAACUAAAGUAAUACUAGUUACUAAUAUCUAAGGUAGUAUCCUCAUGUGUACACACGAAGCUUAAUAUGAAUAAUUUUUCUCCAUGCUUUUACUUUCGAAACCAAAAUAAAAAGAUCCAACAUUCAAAAUGUUCUUUUUAUAU